This 262-nucleotide ribosomal RNA is filed under the name Escherichia coli. Its description in RNAcentral is "partial 23S ribosomal RNA". It matches the Rfam family "Bacterial large subunit ribosomal RNA", at positions 1 to 264 of the family's 2925-position model. The record is from RNAcentral. Lineage: Bacteria; Pseudomonadati; Pseudomonadota; Gammaproteobacteria; Enterobacterales; Enterobacteriaceae.
GUUAAGCGACUAAGCGUACACGGUGGAUGCCCUGGCAGUCAGAGGCGAUGAAGGACGUGCUAAUCUGCGAUAAGCGUCGGUAAGGUGAUAUGAACCGUUAUAACCGGCGAUUUCCGAAUGGGGAAACCCAGUGUGUUUCGACACACUAUCAUUAACUGAAUCCAUAGGUUAAUGAGGCGAACCGGGGGAACUGAAACAUCUAAGUACCCCGAGGAAAAGAAAUCAACCGAGAUUCCCCCAGUAGCGGCGAGCGAACGGGGAG